Small nucleolar RNA from Nannospalax galili (Upper Galilee mountains blind mole rat), 130 nucleotides. The record is from Ensembl. Lineage: Eukaryota; Metazoa; Chordata; Mammalia; Rodentia; Spalacidae.
GCCUAAACCAGAGUCACAUCGUGACACAGCAAUUGUCCUGGUGUGCUGGAAUCCUCAGAGAGAACUGCUGGUCUUGAGUUAUAGACAGGAACAGCCAGUGUCCCUGUUGGUGUCCUACCCAGAUCCUAGA